This 404-nucleotide ribosomal RNA is filed under the name Fusobacteriota bacterium. Its description in RNAcentral is "Fusobacteria bacterium partial 16S ribosomal RNA". It matches the Rfam family "Bacterial small subunit ribosomal RNA", at positions 355 to 776 of the family's 1533-position model. Lineage: Bacteria; Fusobacteriati; Fusobacteriota. The record is from RNAcentral.
UGGGGAAUAUUGCACAAUGGAGGGAACUCUGAUGCAGCGACGCCGCGUGAGUGAUGAAGGAAUUCGUUUCGUAAAACUCUGUUCUAUGGGAAGAAAAGGACUGUACCAUAGGAGAAAGCUCCGGCUAAAUACGUGCCAGCAGCCGCGGUAAUACGUAUGGAGCGAGCGUUGUCCGGAAUUAUUGGGCGUAAAGGGUGCGCAGGCGGCUUUACAAGUUGGAUGUGAAAUAUUGUGGCUCAACCACAAACGUGCAUCCAAAACUGCAAAGCUUGAGUUAAGGAGAGGGAAGUGGAAUUCCUGGUGUAGCGGUGCAAUGCGUAGAUAUCAGGAGGAAUACCGGUGGCGAAGGCGACUUACUGGACUUAAACUGACGCUCACGCACGAAAGCGUGGGGAGCAAACAGG